ACAAUGAAGAGAGCCUGUGGGGAUCACUCUCCUCGGCUCUGUCUGAGAGGCAUGUGGGAGUCUAGGACUCACACUCCAAGAUGCCCAGUCCUGUUCCACAUUGCAGGAGACCAAGCCACCCCCUGUGUCUGCACCUGCAUAUUCCUAGUGCUUCUCUGAGCCCCUGGGCUGUGAUGAAGGAGAUAAAUUCAUCCAAUCAUAUAU
Molecule: small nucleolar RNA, 204 nt
Organism: Tachyglossus aculeatus (Australian echidna)
Lineage: Eukaryota; Metazoa; Chordata; Mammalia; Monotremata; Tachyglossidae
Product: small nucleolar RNA SNORA73 family
Exons: 1
Source: RefSeq, a predicted model, not a curated record